RNAcentral lists this ribosomal RNA (451 nucleotides) under uncultured bacterium. Its description in RNAcentral is "partial 16S ribosomal RNA". It matches the Rfam family "Bacterial small subunit ribosomal RNA", at positions 28 to 507 of the family's 1533-position model. The record is from RNAcentral.
GAUGAACGCUGGCGGCGUGCCUAACACAUGCAAGUCGAGCGGCAGCGAGGGGUGCUUGCACCCUGUCGGCGAGCGGCGGACGGCUGAGUAACGCGUGGGAACGUGCCCCAAAGUGAGGAAUAACUGCCCGAAAGGGUAGCUAAUACCGCAUAUUAUCUUCGGAUCAAAGGAUUUAUCCGCUUUGGGAGCGGCUCGCGUCGGAUUAGGUAGUUGGUGAGGUAAUGGCUCACCAAGCCGACGAUCCGUAGCUGGUCUGAGAGGAUGACCAGCCAGACUGGAACUGAGACACAGUCCAGACUCCUACGGGAGGCAGCAGUGAGGAAUCUUCCACAAUGGGCGAAAGCCUGAUGGAGCAACGCCGCGUGCAGGACGAAGGCCUUCGGGUUGUAAACUGCUUUUAUAAGUGAGGAAUAUGACGGUAACUUAUGAAUAAGGAUCGGCUAACUACGUG